AGUGAACGCUGGCGGUAGGCCUAACACAUGCAAGUCGAACGGCAGCACAGGAGAGCUUGCUCUCUGGGUGGCGAGUGGCGGACGGGUGAGGAAUACAUCGGAAUCUACUUUUUCGUGGGGGAUAACGUAGGGAAACUUACGCUAAUACCGCAUACGACCUACGGGUGAAAGCAGGGGACCUUCGGUCCUUGCGCGAUUGAAUGAGCCGAUGUCGGAUUAGCUAGUUGGCGGGGUAAAGGCCCACGAAGGCGACGAUCCGUAGCGGGUCUGAGAGGAUGAUCAGCCACACUGGAACUGAGACACGGUCCAGACUCCUACGGGAGGCAGCAGUGGGGAAUAUUGGACAAUGGGCGCAAGCCUGAUCCAGCCAUACCGCGUGGGUGAAGAAGGCCUUCGGGUUGUAAAGCCCUUUUGUUGGGAAAGAAAUCCAGCUGGCUAAUACCCGGUUGGGAUGACGGUACCCAAAGAAUAAGCACCGGCUAACUUCGUGCCAGCCGCCGCAGUAA
RNAcentral lists this ribosomal RNA (506 nucleotides) under uncultured bacterium. RNAcentral describes it as "partial 16S ribosomal RNA". It matches the Rfam family "Bacterial small subunit ribosomal RNA", at positions 29 to 523 of the family's 1533-position model. The record is from RNAcentral.